UGACUNGAGUGCAGAAGGGGAGAGUGGAAUUCCAUGUGUAGCGGUGAAAUGCGUAGAUAUAUGGAGGANCACCAGUGGCGAAAGCGGCUCUCUGGUCUGUCACUGACGCUGAGGCUCGAAAGCGUGGGUAGCGAACAGGAUUAGAUACCCUGGUAGUCCACGCCGUAAACGAUGAGUGCUAGGUGUUAGGCCCUUUCCGGGGCUUAGUGCCAGAGCUAACGCAAUAAGCACUCCGCCUGGGGAGUACGACCGCAAGGUUGAAACUCAAAGGAAUUGACGGGGGCCCGCACAAGCGGUGGAGCAUGUGGUUUAAUUCGAAGCAACGCGAAGAACCUUACCAGGUCUUGACAUCCCGAUGCUAUUCUUAGAGAUAGGAAGUUACUUCGGUACAUCGGAGACAGGUGGUGCAUGGUUGUCGUCAGCUCGUGUCGUGAGAUGUUGGGUUAAGUCCCGCAACGAGCGCAACCCUUAUUGUUAGUUGCCAUCAUUAAGUUGGGCACUCUAGCGAGACUGCCGGUAAUAAACCGGAGGAAGGUGGGGAUGACGUCAAAUCAUCAUGCCCCUUAUGACCUGGGCUACACACGUGCUACAAUGGUCGGUACAACGAGUUGCGAGCCGGUGACGGCAAGCUAAUCUCUGAAAGCCGAUCUCAGUUCGGAUUGGAGGCUGCAACUCG
RNAcentral lists this ribosomal RNA (676 nucleotides) under uncultured bacterium. RNAcentral's name for it is "bacterial SSU rRNA". It matches the Rfam family "Bacterial small subunit ribosomal RNA", at positions 638 to 1314 of the family's 1533-position model. The record is from RNAcentral.